CCUACGGGAGACAGCAGUGAGGAAUAUUGGUCAAUGGACGCAAGUCUGAACCAGCCAUGCCGCGUGCAGGAUGACGGCUCUCUGAGUUUUAAACUGCUUUUGUACGAGGGUAAACGCAGAUACGCGUAUCUGUCUGAACGUAUCGUACGAAUAAGGAUCGGCUAACUCCGUGCCAGCAGCCGCGGUAAUACGGAGGAUUCAAGCGUUAUCCGGAUUUAUUGGGUUUAAAGGGUGCGUAGGCGGUCGGAUAAGUUAGAGGUGAAAUCCCGAGGCUCAACUUCGGAAUUGCCUCUGAUACUGGUCGGCUAGAGAGUAGGUGCGGUAGGCGGAAUGUAUGGUGUAGCGGUGAAAUGCUUAGAGAUCAUACAGAACACCGAUGGCGAAGGCAGCUUACCAGGCUACAUCUGACGUUGAGGCGCGAAAGCGUGGGGAGCAAACAGGAUUAGAUACCCUAGUAGUC
RNAcentral lists this ribosomal RNA (460 nucleotides) under uncultured bacterium. RNAcentral describes it as "partial 16S ribosomal RNA". It matches the Rfam family "Bacterial small subunit ribosomal RNA", at positions 338 to 795 of the family's 1533-position model. The record is from RNAcentral.